This is a long non-coding RNA of Ooceraea biroi (clonal raider ant), 617 nucleotides long. RefSeq lists it as uncharacterized. The record is from RefSeq and is a predicted model, not a curated record. NCBI's taxonomy places the organism in Eukaryota, Metazoa, Arthropoda, Insecta, Hymenoptera, Formicidae.
AAUUAAUUUUUUCCUAAUAUAGUUUUAUAAUUUGUAAUAAAUAAUAACAGUUAGACAGUUCUGCGUUAUGCGUUAUACAGGGUACCUCUAAAGUCUGAUCCAACUCUUGGAUCUCGAAAACAACUUUAAAUAUGGAAAAAACAUAAACAUAGCUUUACAAAAUAGUCAACUAUAGUGUUCGUGCUGUAGCCUAUAAAACGGGGAGGGAUAUAACAAAUAUGGUAUAUUAUGAGUUGCUGAAUCUUACUCGGAUUGUUACUACAGAGCGUUCCCAACUACGUUAGCAACUAGUUAAUUGGAGCAAAAGGAACAAUGUAUUGGCUAGCAAACUAGUGUUUUUGCAAAUCUUUGUGCAGCUUAAUAAUGCUCUGCCAUCGGUCGUAAAAGAGACGAAGAAUAUUAUCUAUGAGUAGACCAGGAAAUUAUCUCUCAUGCGAUCUAUUUCUACUAAAAUAAUGGAGAUUAUUUCGAAGAUUUUUACUUAAAUUGGACUUUUAGAGAAUACACUUUGAAUUUCGUGAAAAAGCACAGAAUUAAUUUUCACAUCUAAUUCUCGUAGUAACAUUAUUUUAAUACUCUACUUCAAUAUAAGCGUUCACAGUUUAUUUAAUAAAAAA